This is a long non-coding RNA of Xenopus laevis (African clawed frog), 355 nucleotides long. RefSeq lists it as uncharacterized. The transcript has 3 exons. The record is from RefSeq and is a predicted model, not a curated record. NCBI's taxonomy places the organism in Eukaryota, Metazoa, Chordata, Amphibia, Anura, Pipidae.
AAUAAUAGGGAAGGGAACAUGACAAGCACAAGUUUAGGGUCUCAUACACAGAAGUGGCUUUUUUGAUUGCAUGCAUACAAACAUAAAUACAUUUUAUUAUGAAUGUUCAUAUUUGAAUUUUAGCAGAGUUGUAAAUAGAACAAUUCAUUGAAUACACACAAAGGGAACUCCAUGGUGCGGCUCGAGCCGACACAUCGCCAUGCGACAAAACGCAUGCGAUAUGUUGGAUGUUUUGAAGAUACAGGAAGCCAAGGAGAAAUCGCAGGAAUUAAUUGGCCAGCUAGAAAAUACACAUUACGGAACUCCUGCCGUGAUAAGGUCCUUCCAGCUGACACAUGGGCACCCAUUUCGAUUA